Molecule: long non-coding RNA, 466 nt
Filed under: Lathyrus oleraceus (garden pea)
Lineage: Eukaryota; Viridiplantae; Streptophyta; Magnoliopsida; Fabales; Fabaceae
Description: Pisum sativum (pea) long non-coding RNA (PSAT_LNC019447)
Source: RNAcentral
UUUGUAUUGUGAUGAAGAUGCCAUGAUAUGUGAAGGUUUUGUGAAGAUUUUGUGAAGAUAUAUGUGAAGAUAUUUUGAAGAUAUAUGUGAAGAUAUUGUGAAUACCUUUGUGAAAAUGUGUGUGAAUAUUUAUACUACCACCAAGUCUGCAACCAAGCCCACACAUCUUUGCAUGCAUGUCUUCAACCAAGCCUUCCCCAAGAGUAACGCAUGCAAAACUUGGACACGUGUAACGCAUGCAAAAAUUUGGGUAGGAGGAAGGCAUGCAAAGUUGGCUGAGAAUCUUGCAGGCUAGGUGGAGCUGCAUGCAUGUCUUCACAUAAGACACGUCUACUGCAUGCAUCAGUCUUGUCUUCUCUGAGAAUCUUGCAGGCUAGGUGGAGCUGCAUGCAUGUAAUAAUUUUGACACGUCUACUGCAUGCAUCAGUAGGUCAACAAUAGUUGUAAUACUCAUAUUUUCGGAUAA